RNAcentral lists this ribosomal RNA (460 nucleotides) under uncultured bacterium. Its description in RNAcentral is "partial 16S ribosomal RNA". It matches the Rfam family "Bacterial small subunit ribosomal RNA", at positions 338 to 795 of the family's 1533-position model. The record is from RNAcentral.
CCUACGGGAGGCAGCAGUGAGGAAUAUUGGUCAAUGGACGAGAGUCUGAACCAGCCAAGUAGCGUGAAGGAUGACUGCCCUAUGGGUUGUAAACUUCUUUUAUAAAGGAAUAAAACGAGGCACGUGUGCCCUUUUGCAUGUACUUUAUGAAUAAGGAUCGGCUAACUCCGUGCCAGCAGCCGCGGUAAUACGGAGGAUCCGAGCGUUAUCCGGAUUUAUUGGGUUUAAAGGGAGAGUAGAUGGGUUGUUAAGUCAGUUGUGAAAGUUUGCGGCUCAACCGUAAAAUUGCAAUUGAUACUGGCAGUCUUGAGUACAGUUGAGGUAGGCGGAAUUCGUGGUGUAGCGGUGAAAUGCUUAGAUAUCACGAAGAACCCCGAUUGCGAAGGCAGCUUACUAAACUGUGACUGACAUUGAUGCUCGAAAGUGUGGGUAUCAAACAGGAUUAGAUACCCGGGUAGUC